AGCGUACACGGUGGAUGCCCUGGCAGUCAGAGGCGAUGAAGGACGUGCUAAUCUGCGAUAAGCGUCGGUAAGGUGAUAUGAACCGUUAUAACCGGCGAUUUCCGAAUGGGGAAACCCAGUGUGAUUCGUCACACUAUCAUUAACUGAAUCCAUAGGUUAAUGAGGCGAACCGGGGGAACUGAAACAUCUAAGUACCCCGAGGAAAAGAAAUCAACCGAGAUUCCCCCAGUAGCGGCGAGCGAACGGGGAGCAGCCCAGAGCCUGAAUCAGUGUGUGUGUUAGUGGAAGCGUCUGGAAAGGCGCGCGAUACAGGGUGACAGCCCCGUACACAAAAAUGCACAUACUGUGAGCUCGAUGAGUAGGGCGGGACACGUGGUAUCCUGUCUGAAUAUGGGGGGACCAUCCUCCAAGGCUAAAUACUCCUGACUGACCGAUAGUGAACCAGUACCGUGAGGGAAAGGCGAAAAGAACCCCGGCGAGGGGAGUGAAAAAGAACCUGAAACCGUGUACGUACAAGCAGUGGGAGCACGCUUAGGCGUGUGACUGCGUACCUUUUGUAUAAUGGGUCAGCGACUUAUAUUCUGUAGCAAGGUUAACCGAAUAGGGGAGCCGAAGGGAAACCGAGUCUUAACUGGGCGUUAAGUUGCAGGGUAUAGACCCGAAACCCGGUGAUCUAGCCAUGGGCAGGUUGAAGGUUGGGUAACACUAACUGGAGGACCGAACCGACUAAUGUUGAAAAAUUAGCGGAUGACUUGUGGCUGGGGGUGAAAGGCCAAUCAAACCGGGAGAUAGCUGGUUCUCCCCGAAAGCUAUUUAGGUAGCGCCUCGUGAAUUCAUCUCCGGGGGUAGAGCACUGUUUCGGCAAGGGGGUCAUCCCGACUUACCAACCCGAUGCAAACUGCGAAUACCGGAGAAUGUUAUCACGGGAGACACACGGCGGGUGCUAACGUCCGUCGUGAAGAGGGAAACAACCCAGACCGCCAGCUAAGGUCCCAAAGUCAUGGUUAAGUGGGAAACGAUGUGGGAAGGCCCAGACAGCCAGGAUGUUGGCUUAGAAGCAGCCAUCAUUUAAAGAAAGCGUAAUAGCUCACUGGUCGAGUCGGCCUGCGCGGAAGAUGUAACGGGGCUAAACCAUGCACCGAAGCUGCGGCAGCGACGCUUAUGCGUUGUUGGGUAGGGGAGCGUUCUGUAAGCCUGCGAAGGUGUGCUGUGAGGCAUGCUGGAGGUAUCAGAAGUGCGAAUGCUGACAUAAGUAACGAUAAAGCGGGUGAAAAGCCCGCUCGCCGGAAGACCAAGGGUUCCUGUCCAACGUUAAUCGGGGCAGGGUGAGUCGACCCCUAAGGCGAGGCCGAAAGGCGUAGUCGAUGGGAAACAGGUUAAUAUUCCUGUACUUGGUGUUACUGCGAAGGGGGGACGGAGAAGGCUAUGUUGGCCGGGCGACGGUUGUCCCGGUUUAAGCGUGUAGGCUGGUUUUCCAGGCAAAUCCGGAAAAUCAAGGCUGAGGCGUGAUGACGAGGCACUACGGUGCUGAAGCAACAAAUGCCCUGCUUCCAGGAAAAGCCUCUAAGCAUCAGGUAACAUCAAAUCGUACCCCAAACCGACACAGGUGGUCAGGUAGAGAAUACCAAGGCGCUUGAGAGAACUCGGGUGAAGGAACUAGGCAAAAUGGUGCCGUAACUUCGGGAGAAGGCACGCUGAUAUGUAGGUGAAGUCCCUCGCGGAUGGAGCUGAAAUCAGUCGAAGAUACCAGCUGGCUGCAACUGUUUAUUAAAAACACAGCACUGUGCAAACACGAAAGUGGACGUAUACGGUGUGACGCCUGCCCGGUGCCGGAAGGUUAAUUGAUGGGGUUAGCGCAAGCGAAGCUCUUGAUCGAAGCCCCGGUAAACGGCGGCCGUAACUAUAACGGUCCUAAGGUAGCGAAAUUCCUUGUCGGGUAAGUUCCGACCUGCACGAAUGGCGUAAUGAUGGCCAGGCUGUCUCCACCCGAGACUCAGUGAAAUUGAACUCGCUGUGAAGAUGCAGUGUACCCGCGGCAAGACGGAAAGACCCCGUGAACCUUUACUAUAGCUUGACACUGAACAUUGAGCCUUGAUGUGUAGGAUAGGUGGGAGGCUUUGAAGUGUGGACGCCAGUCUGCAUGGAGCCGACCUUGAAAUACCACCCUUUAAUGUUUGAUGUUCUAACGUUGACCCGUAAUCCGGGUUGCGGACAGUGUCUGGUGGGUAGUUUGACUGGGGCGGUCUCCUCCUAAAGAGUAACGGAGGAGCACGAAGGUUGGCUAAUCCUGGUCGGACAUCAGGAGGUUAGUGCAAUGGCAUAAGCCAGCUUGACUGCGAGCGUGACGGCGCGAGCAGGUGCGAAAGCAGGUCAUAGUGAUCCGGUGGUUCUGAAUGGAAGGGCCAUCGCUCAACGGAUAAAAGGUACUCCGGGGAUAACAGGCUGAUACCGCCCAAGAGUUCAUAUCGACGGCGGUGUUUGGCACCUCGAUGUCGGCUCAUCACAUCCUGGGGCUGAAGUAGGUCCCAAGGGUAUGGCUGUUCGCCAUUUAAAGUGGUACGCGAGCUGGGUUUAGAACGUCGUGAGACAGUUCGGUCCCUAUCUGCCGUGGGCGCUGGAGAACUGAGGGGGGCUGCUCCUAGUACGAGAGGACCGGAGUGGACGCAUCACUGGUGUUCGGGUUGUCAUGCCAAUGGCACUGCCCGGUAGCUAAAUGCGGAAGAGAUAAGUGCUGAAAGCAUCUAAGCACGAAACUUGCCCCGAGAUGAGUUCUCCCUGACUCCUUGA
RNAcentral lists this ribosomal RNA (2787 nucleotides) under Escherichia coli. Its description in RNAcentral is "bacterial LSU rRNA". It matches the Rfam family "Bacterial large subunit ribosomal RNA". Lineage: Bacteria; Pseudomonadati; Pseudomonadota; Gammaproteobacteria; Enterobacterales; Enterobacteriaceae. The record is from RNAcentral.